RNAcentral lists this ribosomal RNA (450 nucleotides) under uncultured bacterium. RNAcentral describes it as "partial 16S ribosomal RNA". It matches the Rfam family "Bacterial small subunit ribosomal RNA", at positions 338 to 795 of the family's 1533-position model. The record is from RNAcentral.
CCUACGGGGGGCUGCAGUGGGGAAUAUUGGACAAUGGGCGCAAGCCUGAUCCAGCAAUGCCGCGUGUGUGAAGAAGGCCUUCGGGUUGUAAAGCACUUUUAUCAGGAGCGAAAUACUACCGGCUAAUACCCGGUGGGGCUGACGGUACCUGAGGAAUAAGCACCGGCUAAUUUCGUGCCAGCAGCCGCGGUAAUACGAAGGGUACAAGCGUUAAUCGGAAUUACUGGGCGUAAAGCGUGAGGAGGGGUGUGAAAGCCCCGGGCUCAACCUGGGAAUGGCAGUGGAUACUGGCAAGCUAGAGUGUGUCAGAGGAUGGUGGAAUUCCCGGUGUAGCGGUGAAAUGCGUAGAGAUCGGGAGGAACAUCAGUGGCGAAGGCGGCCAUCUGGGACAACACUGACGCUGAGGCACGAAAGCGUGGGGAGCAAACAGGAUUAGAUACCCCUGUAGUC